CUGGCGGCGUGCCUAAUACAUGCAAGUCGAACGGAAAUUAACGCUGAGGCGAGCUUGCUCAAUCUUGUAAUUUAGUGGCGGACGGGUGAGUAACGCGUGGGUAACCUGCCUUACACUGGGGGACAACAGUUGGAAACGACUGCUAAUACCGCAUAAGCGCACAGAAUCGCAUGAUUCAGUGUGAAAAACUCCGGUGGUGUAAGAUGGACCCGCGUCUGAUUAGCUAGUUGGUGAGGUAACGGCCCACCAAGGCGACGAUCAGUAGCCGGCCUGAGAGGGUGAACGGCCACAUUGGGACUGAGACACGGCCCAAACUCCUACGGGAGGCAGCAGUAGGGAAUAUUGCACAAUGGGGGAAACCCUGAUGCAAGCAACGCCGCGUGAGUGAAGAAGUAUUUCGGUAUGUAAAGCUCUAUCAGCAGGGAAGAAAAUGACGGUACCUGACUAAGAAGCCCCGGCUAACUACGUGCCAGCCGCAGC
RNAcentral lists this ribosomal RNA (480 nucleotides) under uncultured bacterium. RNAcentral describes it as "bacterial SSU rRNA". It matches the Rfam family "Bacterial small subunit ribosomal RNA", at positions 36 to 518 of the family's 1533-position model. The record is from RNAcentral.